This 284-nucleotide unclassified non-coding RNA is filed under the name plant metagenome. RNAcentral's name for it is "partial contains small subunit ribosomal RNA, internal transcribed spacer 1, and 5.8S ribosomal RNA". The stretch from base 1 to 54 matches the Rfam family "Eukaryotic small subunit ribosomal RNA", at positions 1778 to 1831 of the family's 1831-position model. The record is from RNAcentral.
GGAAGUAAAAGUAGUAACAAGGUUUCCGUAGGUGAACCUGCGGAAGGAUCAUUAUUGUAUAACCGAGGUGCGAGGGCUGUCGCUGACCCGAAAGGUCGUGCACGCCCGAGUGCCCUCACACACAUCCAUCUCACCCCUAUGUGCACACCGCGUGGGUCCCCCUUUGGCUUGUUCGGAGGGGGGCUUACGUUUUCACACAAACUUUGUAUGCAGUGUAGAAUGUAUUUUUUGUUUUUGCGAUCACGCAAUCAAUACAACUUUCAACAACGGAUCUCUUGGCUCUC